UACGGAGGAUGCGAGCGUUAUCCGGAUUUAUUGGGUUUAAAGGGUGCGUAGGCGGAAUGGUAAGUCAGUGGUGAAAUCCUGCAGCUCAACUGUAGUUGUGCCAUUGAUACUGUCAUUCUU
RNAcentral lists this ribosomal RNA (120 nucleotides) under uncultured bacterium. RNAcentral's name for it is "partial 16S ribosomal RNA". It matches the Rfam family "Bacterial small subunit ribosomal RNA", at positions 524 to 643 of the family's 1533-position model. The record is from RNAcentral.